CCUACGGGCGGCAGCAGUGAGGAAUAUUGGUCACUGGGCGUAAGCCUGAACCAGCCAAGUCGCGUGAGGGAAGACGGUCCUAUGGAUUGUAAACCUCUUUUAUCGGGGCGUAAAAUACGCCACGCGUGGCGUUCCGUAAGUACCCUCAGAAAAAGCAUCGGCUAACUCCGUGCCAGCAGCCGCGGUCAUACGGAGGAUCCGAGCGUUAUCCGGAUUUAUUGGGUUUAAAGGGUGCUCAGGCGGACGAUCAAGUCACGGGUAAAAUUGCGGGCAUCAACCUCGUAGGGCCGUUGAAACUGGUUGUCUUGAGUGAGUGAGAGGUAUGCGGAAUGCGUGGUGUAGCGGUGAAAUGCAUAGAUAUCACGCAGAACCCCGAUUGCGAAGGCAGCAUACCGGGGCACAACUGACGCUCAUGCACGAAAGUGUGGGGAUCGAACAGGAUUAGAUACCCCGGUAGUC
Molecule: ribosomal RNA, 459 nt
Filed under: uncultured bacterium
Lineage: Bacteria
Description: partial 16S ribosomal RNA
Rfam family: Bacterial small subunit ribosomal RNA
Source: RNAcentral